GUCUUUUUGAAUUUAAUAAAAAGUCUAGCCUGCUCAAUGAUUUUAAAUAGCCGCGGUAUUUUGACCGUGCGAAGGUAGCAUAAUAAAUAGUCUAUUAAAUGUGGUCUGGAAUGAAAGGUUGAACGAAGAAUAACUUUUUUAAUAUUAUAGUUGAAUUUGAAUUAUUAGUAAAAAUGCUAAUUUGUAUAAGAGGGACGAGAAGACCCUAUAGAGCUUUAUAUAUAAAAAAUUUUUGAUAGGAUUUUUUACAAUAUUUUGUUGGGGCGACAUAUAAUAUAAACAUUAAUUUUUAUUUCUUAUUUAUAGGUUUAAUGAUCCAUUAAUAAUGAUUAUAGGCUAAGUUACCUUAGGGAUAACAGCGUAAUUUUGUUGUAGAGUUCUUAUCGAUAACAAAGUUUGCGACCUCGAUGUUGGAUUAGAAUUCCUUUAAGGCGCAGGAGUUUUUUUAGGUAGUCUGUUCGACUAUUAAAAUUCUACAUGAUCU
This 484-nucleotide ribosomal RNA is filed under the name Otostigmus sp. B WS-2018. Its description in RNAcentral is "partial 16S ribosomal RNA". It matches the Rfam family "Bacterial large subunit ribosomal RNA", at positions 1819 to 2606 of the family's 2925-position model. Lineage: Eukaryota; Metazoa; Arthropoda; Chilopoda; Scolopendromorpha; Scolopendridae. The record is from RNAcentral.